UCACACCCACAACCGCCAGGGAAUUACGAGCCAUCUUAAAACCCAAAGGACUUGACGGUGUCCCACCCACCUAGAGGAGCCUGUUCUAUAAUCGACACCCCCCGCUAUACCUUACCACUUCUCGCCUUUCAGUCUGUAUACCUCCGUCAAAGCUUACCGUGUGAACGCCCACAGUGGGCUAAAAGAUCUCCGUCAACACGACAGGUCAAGGUGCAACUUACGAAGUGGAAAGUAAUGGGCUACAAUUUCUACAAUAGAACACACGAAAAACUACAUGCAACACAGUCAUUGAAGGUGGAUUUAGUAGUAAAAAGAAAAUAGAGAGUUCUUUUAAAUUAGGCGCUGGGACGCGCACACACCGCCCGUCACCCUCUUCAAGUGCUCAAACAUUAGAAGAGGCAAGUCGUAACAUGGUAAGUGUACUGGAAAGUGCACUUGGACAACAAAAUGUAGCUUACUCAAAGCACCCCGCUUACACCGGAGAGACGUCACUAAACAGACCAUUUUGUGCCCGAACCUCCGCCCACACCCCCCCCCCCCCCCAACACACAAUAAAAUAAAACAUUUUCCUCAUUAAGUAAAGGCGAUAAAAAAUG
This 596-nucleotide ribosomal RNA is filed under the name Anodonthyla sp. 4 Ranomafana. RNAcentral's name for it is "partial 12S ribosomal RNA". The stretch from base 1 to 451 matches the Rfam family "Bacterial small subunit ribosomal RNA", at positions 853 to 1533 of the family's 1533-position model. Lineage: Eukaryota; Metazoa; Chordata; Amphibia; Anura; Microhylidae. The record is from RNAcentral.